GACCAUCUCCUAAGGCUAAAUACUCUCUAGUGACCGAUAGUGAACCAGUACCGUGAGGGAAAGGUGAAAAGCACCCCGGAAGGGGAGUGAAAUAGAACCUGAAACCGUGUGCUUACAAGUAGUCAGAGCCCGUUAAUGGGUGAUGGCGUGCCUUUUGUAGAAUGAACCGGCGAGUUACGAUUUGAUGCAAGGUUAAGCAGUAAAUGUGGAGCCGUAGCGAAAGCGAGUCUGAAUAGGGCGUUUAGUAUUUGGUCGUAGACCCGAAACCAGGUGAUCUACCCUUGGUCAGGUUGAAGUUCAGGUAACACUGAAUGGAGGACCGAACCGACUUACGUUGAAAAGUGAGCGGAUGAACUGAGGGUAGCGGAGAAAUUCCAAUCGAACCUGGAGAUAGCUGGUUCUCUCCGAAAUAGCUUUAGGGCUAGCCUCAAGUGAUGAUUAUUGGAGGUAGAGCACUGUUUGGACGAGGGGCCCCUCUCGGGUUACCGAAUUCAGACA
Molecule: ribosomal RNA, 498 nt
Filed under: Staphylococcus aureus
Lineage: Bacteria; Bacillati; Bacillota; Bacilli; Caryophanales; Staphylococcaceae
Description: partial 23S ribosomal RNA
Rfam family: Bacterial large subunit ribosomal RNA
Source: RNAcentral